Molecule: small nucleolar RNA, 127 nt
Organism: Perognathus longimembris pacificus (Pacific pocket mouse)
Lineage: Eukaryota; Metazoa; Chordata; Mammalia; Rodentia; Heteromyidae
Product: small nucleolar RNA SNORA40
Exons: 1
Source: RefSeq, a predicted model, not a curated record
ACCGCGUGUGUUUGUGUCUGUUUAAUUUGCAACAAGAACUUACAGAUAGGUUUAAGUAGUAAUCCUCUCUUGCAACCCAAAACUCAUUGUUGAAUAUGAGAUUUUGGUGCAUGGAAGAAGGAAUAUG